UACGUAGGGGGCAAGCGUUGUCCGGAAUCAUUGGGCGUAAAGAGCGCGUAGGCGGUCCGGUAAGUCGGUUGUGAAAACUGGGGGCUCAACCCUCAGAGGCCGACCGAUACUGUCGGGCUAGAGUCCGGAAGAGGCGAGUGGAAUUCCUGGUGUAGCGGUGAAAUGCGCAGAUAUCAGGAGGAACACCGAUGGCGAAGGCAGGUCUCUGGGCAUUAACUGACGCUGAGGAGCGAAAGCAUGGGGAGCGAACAGG
RNAcentral lists this ribosomal RNA (253 nucleotides) under uncultured bacterium. RNAcentral's name for it is "partial 16S ribosomal RNA". It matches the Rfam family "Bacterial small subunit ribosomal RNA", at positions 524 to 776 of the family's 1533-position model. The record is from RNAcentral.